GAAUUGUUCGCAAUGGGCGCAAGCCUGACGACGCAACGCCGCGUGGAGGAUGAAGGUCUUCGGAUUGUAAACUCCUGUUGCCAGGGACGAAUGGCUCCGACCUAAUACGUCGGAGAAUGACGGUACCUGGUGAGGAAGCCCCGGCUAACUCUGUGCCAGCAGCCGCGGUAAUACAGAGGGGGCUAGCGUUGUUCGGAAUUACUGGGCGUAAAGGGCGCGUAGGCGGCCUUCUAAGUCGAACGUGAAAUCCCCGGGCUCAACCCGGGAACUGCGUCCGAUACUGGUUGGCUUGAAUCCGGGAGAGGGAUGUGGAAUUCCAGGUGUAGCGGUGAAAUGCGUAGAUAUCUGGAGGAACACCGGUGGCGAAGGCGGCAUCCUGGACCGGCAUUGACGCUGAGGCGCGAAAGCCAGGGGAGCAAACGGG
RNAcentral lists this ribosomal RNA (424 nucleotides) under uncultured bacterium. RNAcentral describes it as "bacterial SSU rRNA". It matches the Rfam family "Bacterial small subunit ribosomal RNA", at positions 359 to 776 of the family's 1533-position model. The record is from RNAcentral.